RNAcentral lists this ribosomal RNA (188 nucleotides) under Listeria monocytogenes. Its description in RNAcentral is "partial 23S ribosomal RNA". It matches the Rfam family "Bacterial large subunit ribosomal RNA", at positions 1 to 187 of the family's 2925-position model. The record is from RNAcentral. Lineage: Bacteria; Bacillati; Bacillota; Bacilli; Caryophanales; Listeriaceae.
GGUUAAGUUAGAAAGGGCGCACGGUGGAUGCCUUGGCACUAGGAGCCGAAGAAGGACGGGACUAACACCGAUAUGCUUUGGGGAGCUGUACGUAAGCGUUGAUCCAGAGAUUUCCGAAUGGGGGAACCCACUAUCUUUAGUCGGAUAGUAUCCUUACGUGAAUACAUAGCGUGAGGAAGGCAGACCCA